This 72-nucleotide transfer RNA is filed under the name Sus scrofa (pig). RNAcentral describes it as "tRNA-Glu (TTC) (tRNA-Glu-TTC-27-1)". It matches the Rfam family "tRNA". Rfam says of the family: Transfer RNA (tRNA) molecules are approximately 80 nucleotides in length. Their secondary structure includes four short double-helical elements and three loops (D, anti-codon, and T loops). Further hydrogen bonds mediate the characteristic L-shaped molecular structure. tRNAs have two regions of fundamental functional importance: the anti-codon, which is responsible for specific mRNA codon recognition, and the 3' end, to which the tRNAs corresponding amino acid is attached (by aminoacyl-tRNA synthetases). tRNAs cope with the degeneracy of the genetic code in two manners: having more than one tRNA (with a specific anti-codon) for a particular amino acid; and 'wobble' base-pairing, i.e. permitting non-standard base-pairing at the 3rd anti-codon position. The record is from Rfam by way of RNAcentral. Lineage: Eukaryota; Metazoa; Chordata; Mammalia; Artiodactyla; Suidae.
UCCCUGGUGGUCUAGUGGUUAGGCCUUGGCGCUUUCACCGCCGAGGCCCAGGUUCGGUCCCUGGUCUGGGAA